Non-coding RNA from Lonchura striata (white-rumped munia), 1662 nucleotides. Lineage: Eukaryota; Metazoa; Chordata; Aves; Passeriformes; Estrildidae. The record is from RefSeq and is a predicted model, not a curated record.
CUUCAGAGGUGGGGUGUUGUAAGAUCAGGGAAGCAAUGUCCUCAGCAGGAGGUUAAAAUCCAUGGGUAUUAAAGCAGUUUACUCCUGCUAACUGUAUUGCCUUUUCUCUCUGAGUUGCAAUGGAAACUUGCAAACACGAAUGUGACAUUUUGCUUUCACUUCUUGGCAGUAGCAAUUUCUAAUUCCACUCAAAUACAAGAAGCAGCAAACCCCUUGACCACUCCUCAUAACUGAUACUUCACCCACACUAUUGCUGCAUUUGCCAGUCUAGGGUGUUACCUUGGAGUCUUCUAUAUUCCUGAUCUUUGCUUUGCCUGAAAAGCUCUCAAAACUCAGAAUGAACUUUUAUUAAUUAUUAAAUCCCUCAACUCCUUGCUGUCUUACAACCUGGCAGAGAAAAUCAGGCCAAAGGGACAGAAAGCUCAAUCCAGGUCUCCCUGCAGAAACCUGACACAGUAAAUAGGGACAGCCUGAGGUGAUCUGAAAUUUGGAAAACUUGUGGCAGCAAAAUAAAUUCUGAGGAGCCCAUGGGUGAAUUGGUGUCCCCUACACUACUGGCUCCAGAUCCCAAGCAAAUGCCAGAGGGCAACAGGCUGCGUGUCCUGAAGCCAGGCACAACAAGGGAGUAGCAGAGGACUGGGAGGACAGCUGCAGUGCAGGGGCAUGGCUGUGGAAGAUGCAAAGGCUCGGGCAUCAGACAGGAGAGAGACCAUGACAUACAGCCAAAAUGUCAACAGUGAUCUCAAGUGUGCUUACUUCUGUGGGGAAAUCCUGGCAAGAGGAAUUCAGCCAAACAGCAGAUUUAUAUCAGCUGAAUGUACUCCUGGGAAGGAGAUCCAAAAGCUGCACCUGCUGAUCUAAUUUUUGUGACCACAGAUUUCAAGGUGUGUGCAAGAUACUCAGCCACCUGUUCUCUUCUUCUCUUGUGACCCCAGACAUGAGCUCUUCCCUCCAUCAAUUUUCCAGCAUGCUAGGAUCCCACAGCAGGACAUCACCAGUGCCCCAGCAGGUGCUGCCAUGCUGGUACAGAGCAAUGAGUUCUCCUGCCUGAUGCCAGGCACCAUCUUCAUGGAACAGAUACCCUUUUGAGGCAUGCCUGGAAGCACUUCCCUAGUUGUGUUUGUGUUCUUAGAGACUACCAGCCCUUUUUUGCUGCUUAUUCAGGAAUGGGGCCAGGGGCUUCUCUGAGCAGCCUGUGAGGCGAUAUCACUGCCAUAAAAACCCCACAAGUCCCACAUGUGGACCUGCCUGCACAGCAGCGUCCUCUCUGCUGAGCCGUGCUACCCUGCGGCAAGUACCAUUUUCUGAAGCAAUUUGUCUUCGGACCAGAACGGGGCAGCACAGCCCAGACAAACCCAGGCAGAGAAUGCGUGUGUCCCAGCUGAGCAGCGUAUCUGUGAAACCUCCACACAUUUAGGGAAAAUCGGUCUUUAGCGCUGCUAGCGACACUGAGAGUGGCUGCAGAGCCUUGCCAGUUGUGUAGGCAAUUGUUGAAGAGCCUCACUUUGUUGAACAUGGAUCUGGAAGCCUUCCCAGAUUAUGCAUCUGCCCCUCCAAUUCGAGACCUAAGAGGCUGUAGCUGAAUGGGAAGAUAAUGAGUAAAUACAUUCCCAGCGACUGCUUUGGGAGCGGAAUUAAUGAAGCAUUAUCUUUUUCUCUUGA